UACGUAGGGUGCAGGCGUUAAUCGGAAUUACUGGGCGUAAAGCGUGCGCAGGCGGUUUGCUAAGACAGGUGUGAAAUCCCCGGGCUUAACCUGGGAACUGCGCUUGUUACUGGCAAGCUGGAGUGUGGCAGAGGGGGGUGGAAUUCCACGUGUAGCAGUGAAAUGCGUAGAGAUGUGGAGGAAUACCGAUGGCGAAGGCAGCCUCCUGGGCCAACACUGACGCUCAUGCACGAAAGCGUGGGGAGCAAACAGG
This 253-nucleotide ribosomal RNA is filed under the name uncultured bacterium. Its description in RNAcentral is "partial 16S ribosomal RNA". It matches the Rfam family "Bacterial small subunit ribosomal RNA", at positions 524 to 776 of the family's 1533-position model. The record is from RNAcentral.